Molecule: unclassified non-coding RNA, 349 nt
Filed under: soil metagenome
Description: partial contains 5.8S ribosomal RNA, internal transcribed spacer 2, and large subunit ribosomal RNA
Rfam family: 5.8S ribosomal RNA (bases 1-120)
Source: RNAcentral
GAUGAAGAACGUAGUGAAAUGCGAUAAGUAAUGUGAAUUGCAGAAUUCCGUGAAUCAUCGAGUCUUUGAACGCACAUUGCGCCCCCUGGUAUUCCGGGGGGCAUGCCUGUCCGAGCGUCAUUGCUGCCCAUCAAGCACGGCUUGUGUGUUGGGUCCUCGUCCCCCCCGGGGGACGUGCCCGAAAGGCAGCGGCGGCACCGCGUCCGGUCCUCGAGCGUAUGGGGCUUUGUCACCCGCUCUGCAGGCCCGGCCGGCGCUGGCCGACGCGAAAGCAACCAUUUUUUCUCCAGGUUGACCUCGGAUCAGGUAGGGAUACCCGCUGAACUUAAGCAUAUCAAUAAGCGGAGGA